RNAcentral lists this ribosomal RNA (468 nucleotides) under uncultured bacterium. RNAcentral's name for it is "partial 16S ribosomal RNA". It matches the Rfam family "Bacterial small subunit ribosomal RNA", at positions 28 to 507 of the family's 1533-position model. The record is from RNAcentral.
GACGAACGCUGGCGGCGUGCUUAACACAUGCAAGUCGAACGGAAAGGCCCUGCUUUUGUGGGGUGCUCGAGUGGCGAACGGGUGAGUAACACGUGAGUAACCUGCCCUUGACUUUGGGAUAACUUCAGGAAACUGGGGCUAAUACCGGAUAGGAGCUCCUGCUGCAUGGUGGGGGUUGGAAAGUUUCGGCGGUUGGGGAUGGACUCGCGGCUUAUCAGCUUGUUGGUGGGGUAGUGGCUUACCAAGGCUUUGACGGGUAGCCCGCCUGAGAGGGUGACCGGCCACAUUGGGACUGUGAUACGGCCGAGAGUCCUACGGGAGGCAGCAGUGGGGAAUAUUGCACCAUGGGCGGAAGCCUGAUGCAGCAACGCCGCGUGCGGGAUGACGGCCUUCGGGUUGUAAACCGCUUUCGCCUGUGACGAAGCGUGAGUGACGGUAAUGGGUAAAGAAGCACCGGCUAACUACGUG